AGGACGAACGCUGGCGGCGUGCUUAAUACAUGCAAGUCACGGGGGCCCGCAAGGGCAACCGGCGAACGGGUGCGUAACACGUGAGCAACCUGCCUAUCUGCGGGGGAUAGCCGGCCCAACGGCCGGGUAAUACCGCAUACGUUCACGAGGGACAUCCCCUUGUGAGGAAGACUCCGGUGCAGAUAGAGGGCUCGCGGCCUAUCAGCUAGUUGGUGAGGUAACGGCUCACCAAGGCGACGACGGGUAGCUGGUACUGAGAGGAUGGCCAGCCACAGUUGGACUGCGACACGGCCCAGACU
Molecule: ribosomal RNA, 299 nt
Filed under: uncultured soil bacterium
Lineage: Bacteria
Description: partial 16S ribosomal RNA
Rfam family: Bacterial small subunit ribosomal RNA
Source: RNAcentral